Molecule: ribosomal RNA, 372 nt
Filed under: uncultured bacterium
Lineage: Bacteria
Description: bacterial SSU rRNA
Rfam family: Bacterial small subunit ribosomal RNA
Source: RNAcentral
ACUCCUACGGGAGGCAGCAGUGAGGAAUAUUGGUCAAUGGACGCAAGUCUGAACCAGCCAUGUCGCGUGCAGGAAGACUGCCCCUAUGGGUUGUAAACUGCUUUUUAUACGGGAAGAAAUAUAGCUACGUGUAGUUAUUUGCCGGUACCGUAUGAAUAAGCAUCGGCUAACUCCGUGCCAGCAGCCGCGGUAAUACGGAGGAUGCGAGCGUUAUCCGGAUUCAUUGGUUUAAAGGGUGCGUAGGCGGAAGUAUAAGUCAGGGUGAAAGUUUGUGGCUCAACCAUAAAAUUGCCUUUGAUACUGUAUUUCUUGAGUACAUUUGAGGUAGGCGGAAUGUGUUGUGUAGCGGUGAAAUGCUUAGAUAUAACACAG